Trichomycterus rosablanca is the source of this 630-nucleotide long non-coding RNA. RefSeq lists it as uncharacterized. The record is from RefSeq and is a predicted model, not a curated record. NCBI's taxonomy places the organism in Eukaryota, Metazoa, Chordata, Actinopteri, Siluriformes, Trichomycteridae. The transcript is spliced from 6 exons.
GUUUCCUCGGACUGCGCCGACGCGGGUCCGGAUCAUUCUCUUGUUUCCUAUAGGUGAGCUUCUGCCUGGUGACAGCAUGGUGCGACUAGUGACAGAGCUACCGGUUUCCUCGGACUGCGCCGACGCGGGUCCGGAUCAUUCUCUUGUUUCCUAUAGGUCAGUUAGAACAAAUAAGGAUAGACCUAAAUGGAUAUAGCUAAGAGUCUGUGUUAGCAUAUAGGCCAGAUCACACGUUGCAAUGAAUCAUCGUUGCAUUUUGCUAAUAACAUCAAAGACACUAGGCACCUGUAUGGGUUUGUAGCAGACAGAUCAUGGCACAGGUCUGCUACAAGAACACAUCCAGAGGUUUUUAGCUGAGGUUCAGAUCACCUCCAUUCCUCAGCACCAUGUACAUACCACGCCAGGUCAGAAAGAAAGCCCCAUCAAUGAACAAGUCUAACCUACUGGAAGAAGCAACCAGAUCAGAUUUGGGCCUAAGCACCUUGAUACCUCACAGAAGAUGAAAUGACUGAGUCACCACAACAAUCUAUGAUCAACGACCACGUCUGUCAUCCUGAAAGCACUUUGACCUUCUCUGUGAUGGUGUAUGAGACAAGAGAGGAAACAAAACCAAUAAAAUAUUGAAUAAAA